Molecule: long non-coding RNA, 290 nt
Filed under: Pan troglodytes (chimpanzee)
Lineage: Eukaryota; Metazoa; Chordata; Mammalia; Primates; Hominidae
Description: long non-coding RNA NONPTRT016835
Source: RNAcentral
GUGCCUUUGUGACACAAUGGGCCAGGACACCGUGGCCUGAGGCAGGGCCAGACCACCUUGUUUCUGGAUGGAGCCGGAGCUCUGGGGACAUGGCUGUGGCAGGAGACAAACUCCAACCAAGAGCCCAGAAUGUGGCUUUCUUUAGCAUGAAUCUUUCAACAGACUUCCUGGUGCUGGGUCUCCUUGUUCUCUCUUUCGUGUGACCGAGAGGCCAGAUGACCACGUAUAUGCCUAAGAGGAGAAGCUGCCACCUGUUGCUGUAAAUCUGGUACAAUUUCAUCAUCUCUUUG